Molecule: ribosomal RNA, 2099 nt
Filed under: Daphnia galeata
Lineage: Eukaryota; Metazoa; Arthropoda; Branchiopoda; Diplostraca; Daphniidae
Description: partial small subunit ribosomal RNA
Rfam family: Eukaryotic small subunit ribosomal RNA
Source: RNAcentral
GUCUAAGUACAAGCCGCUAGUUCGGCGAAACCGCGAAUGGCUCNAUAAAUCAGUUAUGGUUCCUUAGAUCCACUCCAUCCUACUUGGAUAACUGUGGUAAUUCUAGAGCUAAUACAUGCACUCGAGCCUCGACCGAGGCCCCGGCAACGGGGUCGCGGAAGAGGUGCUUUUAUUAGAUCAAAACCAGUCGGGGAAACGAUCGCGCCGGGUCAAACCGGUCGGUCGCGGAACCGUACCAAUUUUGGUGACUCUGGAUAACUUCACGCCGAUCGCACGGCCUUCGCGCCGGCGACGUAUCUUUCAAAUGUCUGCCUUAUCAACUGUCGAUGGUAGGUUACGCGCCUACCAUGGUUGCAACGGGUAACGGGGAAUCGGGGUUCGAUUCCGGAGAGGGAGCCUGAGAAACGGCUACCACAUCCAAGGAAGGCAGCAGGCGCGCAAAUUACCCACUCCCGGCACGGGGAGGUAGUGACGAAAAAUAACGAUACGGGACUCUUCCGAGGCCCCGUGAUUGGAAUGAGUACACUUNAAAUCCUUUAACGAGGAACCAUUGGAGGGCAAGUCUGGUGCCAGCAGCCGCGGUAACUCCAGCUCCAAUAGCGUAUAUUAAAGUUGUUGCGGUUAAAAAGCUCGUAGUCGGAUGUCUGUCUUCGGCCGGGCGGCGCCGCUCUGAAUCAAGGGUGUUUGCGUUUCACGCUCUGGGAGCCCGGGUGUCAAAGCCCGACUCUCUUCACGGUCGGACAACAUCGCCGGAGUGGUGGUCGGUGGGUCGCGGUUGUAUCGGUUUCGAUUCGGUUGAGUGCGAGAGUGACUCUCGGGUCUCUCUCUUCUCGAUCGGUCGUUGUCGUUGACUCGAUUCGCUCCACCCAGUCAAUCGUUCGGGGUGCCCUUCACCGGGUGUCUCGGGCGGCCGGCAACGUUUACUUUGAACAAAUUAGAGUGCUCAAAGCAGGUGUAUCCCAACGCCUGAAUAUCGCAGCAUGGAAUGAUGGAAUAGGACCUCGGUCCGAUUUUGCUGGUCUUUUACUUUUGGACCCGAGGUAAUGGUCAAUAGAGACGGACGGGGGCAUUCGUACUGCGGCGACAGAGGUGAAAUUCUUGGACCGCCGCAAGACGAACAACAGCGAAGGCAUUUGCCAAGAAUGUUUUCCUUGAUCAAGAACGAAAGUUAGAGGUUCGAAGGCGAUCAGAUACCGCCCUAGUUCUAACCAUAAACGAUGCCAACCAGCAAUCCGUCGGAGUUACUCCAAUGACUCGACGGGCAGCUUCCGGGAAACCAAAGUCUUUGGGUUCCGGGGGAAGUAUGGUUGCAAAGCUGAAACUUAAAGGAAUUGACGGAAGGGCACCACCAGGAGUGGAGCCUGCGGCUUAAUUUGACUCAACACGGGAAACCUCACCAGGCCCGGACACUGGAAGGAUUGACAGAUUGAGAGCUCUUUCUUGAUUCGGUGGGUGGUGGUGCAUGGCCGUUCUUAGUUGGUGGAGCGAUUUGUCUGGUUAAUUCCGAUAACGAACGAGACUCUAGCCUGCUAAAUAGGNGACGGGUUUUAUCAAUUGAAACCGAAGGGAGUACNGAGGCGUCNGGAUCNGGUGNNNGCGGUUUUCGGGUUUCGAUGGGCCCAGUNNCUUUNGUGAUGCGUGCNNUUGGCUGUUUGUUGGCUUUNNNNNCUGNNGGAUUCGGAGUUCGCNUCGGGUUUCGUGGUUGCGGAGGUUGGCGGCGGUCGGCUGUGCGUUUNGCGGGGGCUGGAUCUGUUGUUAUUCGGUCGUCGUCAUCCCCGGCGAUACCUUCUGCUCUCGCGUCCGUCACGCAGUCUUCUUAGAGGGACNAGNNGCGUCCAGCCGCGUGACAGUNNNCANUAACNNGUCUGUGAUGCCCUUAGAUGUCCNGGGCNGCACGCGCGCUACANUGAANNAAUCNNNGUGUUUCANUCUCCCUGUCCNANAGGACCNGGNAACCGCUGAACCUCCNUCNUGGNUGNNNNUGGGGACUGCAAUGAUCCCCAUGAACCANGAAUCNCUAGUANGCNCGGGUCACUAGCCCGCGUCGANUACGUCCCNNNNNNNNGUACACACCGNNNGUCGCUACUACCGAUUGAAUG